Molecule: long non-coding RNA, 658 nt
Filed under: Lonchura striata (white-rumped munia)
Lineage: Eukaryota; Metazoa; Chordata; Aves; Passeriformes; Estrildidae
Description: domestica (Bengalese finch) lncRNA (ENSLSDG00000010305.1)
Source: RNAcentral
CAGGAGCUGAUCCAGGAUGUCUGAUGCCUGAAUCUGUAAUUCCCACUGAGGUCUAACUUCCAGUGGCUCCAGAAAAGGACUGCAGGAUGACCUUCCUUUCCUGUCCAGCCAAAUGCUUUAGCUAUAAUUAUUCAAGUUUAAACCAAAAUUUCAGCUAUAACUGAAAUGCUUGCAGAAUACACGAACAACAGCGCCCUCUGCACCUGAAACCCCUCCGGUUAUUAAACCCAGACGUUCCUACGUGCUGGAGGAGCCUUUAAUUUCAAUUACUGCUUUUUUCAGCUGCUGCUUACACCUUCCCUAUGAGAAUGAUAUGAGAUGACAAGAAAAGGUUUCUGACCUCACCAUCCUCUACUUCCCCCACACUGCAUUUGGAAGGGUAAUUUAUAAAACUCCACCAGUGUAGCCUGGACACUGCUGUCCCAGUAAGGACUACAGGGAGAAAGAACCAGGAUCUCGGGUUUGCUGCUUACAUUUUCUUUUUUUAACCCUUUCUUCCUGCCACCCUAACAGAUAGGUGAUCUUUCAUCUUACCUUUUUCCUUUGAUCAAGAUGUAGACAUCUGCAUAAUAGAACAAAAUUUUGGUCUAGUAAAAUAUGAAGCUCGACUUUGGAAGAACAACUGAUUUCUAUUAAAUAAAGCAACACUUCUUCGUCA